This is a long non-coding RNA of Leopardus geoffroyi (Geoffroy's cat), 3704 nucleotides long. RefSeq lists it as uncharacterized. The transcript is spliced from 3 exons. Lineage: Eukaryota; Metazoa; Chordata; Mammalia; Carnivora; Felidae. The record is from RefSeq and is a predicted model, not a curated record.
AUGACAGAUUCCUCACUGAUGCUGAUCAGAAAAUUCCUGACUGACCAGUUAAAACUACAUUUCUGCAGAAAUGUAAGAAGGUUGAAAUGGCAGUUAGGUUAGGUAUUGAGUCCUGGUUUGGUGACCUGGCCUAUGUGAUGCCAUUUUGGGCCUGUGGUUUUCUUUUUAACAAUUCCUUUCUUUUCAUCAGACUCCCAGCUUAAUUGAGAGAUGUGAUCAAAAUUUAAGACAUUAGCUCCACUCUCAGCUACUGUUGAGAAGUUCUCAUAGUUUUUGUUGUUCUUUGGGAUCCAGAGGUCAUGAUAUUUUUGCUUAACUUCUGGGAUCUUCAUAGGUCAUGGCUUUGGGUUCACAUUCUUUAAGUUGGUAAUUUUUCUUGUUCCUUUUUUGACAUUCCGUUCUUAGGGAGAUCAUUUGCUUGGUGGUUCGUGGCUACAAACAUGCAUUUAAAUGUUUUGAGAGAAUACAAUGUACCAGGGAGAUUAUUAUGAAUACUAAAAGCAAGAUUAAUUCCCAGUGUUUGGAGUGCACUUCAGAGCCAUGGUCUCCAAGACCCAAACCAAUCAAAGAAAGACCCUGUUGAAGGAAUUACCCUGUCAGCCUAACUGGCUUGCUCCAUGAUUUUAUAUAACUUAGUUUCACCUUCCCCAGAUGUGUUGAUCCAGGUAUAGCAGGUGGUAUUAACUACAGUACAGACACCUCCUUGCUCAGCUAAAAGAUACUCAAGGGCUCUCCUAUUAUCAAGAACAAUUUUUGCCAGAGAGUCUAAGGAUCUUUGUUGGGUUAUUAUUGCUUUAGCAGUGGAUGCUGCAACAAUUUCAGGAAUUAAGGAGAAAUUCCUCAUCGGGCCUUAUUUACAUUUAUUCCAAAACAAAGAAAUAGAGACCUAUCAAAAGGAGUGAAUCCUGAAUCAUGAAAGCCUCCUGGUAGGUACUUUCUAAUUCAAUAAUGUAAAUUCAGGGGAGUCGGCCAAUGAGAUGUCUUGUUUUGCUUGUGAAAAGUUAGGGCCACAGUUAGGUUUUCUUGUAGCCUGAAAUAAAAGGUUGUUCUAAAUUCUGGAAGUUGCCCCCCACCCCCACCCCCCAGCAAGGGCCUGGGAGAUAUAGAUGAGGACAUUAUCUUUCCAGGCUAAUGCCAGAGUAAAGGAAAGGAAAAGAAAGAGAAAAGGUUUCAUGUUCAGUUAAAGUAUGAAGUCUUUAUCUGUUGUCUUGGGCAGAAGUAAUCAACCUUGAUGUCAGCUACUUAUCUUCCUCAUCAAUUGAUUCAAAGGUCUCCAGCGUCUUCUAGUUUUGAAGAGGUGUCAGUGGUCAGGAGCACUUGAUAAGGGCCCUUCCAGUGGAGCUCCAACACUCUCUUCGUCUGAUAACAUUUCCAGAAUACCCAAUCACCAUGCUCUAGAUUGUGACCAACAAGCACCCCUGAAUUGGGAUCUGGAAAGACUUCUUUAACCUGUUGGUGACAGGCUUGAGCAUAAGAUCUUAGAGACUUAGAAUAGCUGGUCACAGUAGCAUGAGAUAACAAAGGGCAAGCAGAAGGCUGCGUAGCCAUUGGUCUGCUGGUGACUCUUUCAUGUAGACCUUUUGCAGUAAGUCUUUCAAUGAAACUGCUUUGGAAUCCUGAGACCUUUUGCGGGCUUCUGCUUGCCAAUUAAAGUUUCUGGCUUCCGAGGAUUCCCUUGGCAAUAACUUUCACUGCACAAAACAAGACAGACAUACAUGUGCACCUUAACAUCUCUGCGGUAGCCAAGGGAUGUUACUGACUCCUGGCCACAAGAAGGCCCUGUGUGCACUACCACCAAUUCCUGUGGAACCAUGGACUGGGCGAGGGAUUAAACCAGCAAACCCCAAGGGAUGGGGACUGUGGACUGAUUCCAAACAAAAUGGAGAAAGACAGCUGCUGCCAGCAGUUCCCAGUGUGGAAUCCAGGGAUAGAACUAAGGUCUAGGGUUUUCCCUCUGGGGAACUGUGGUCUGAAAGGCUACAGGCUUGAGCUCUGGGAAGACCCUUCUGCCAGCUCAGUUGGGCCCCGGGCAAAACUACCCACUCAGCUGGGUUGUGGGCAGAAUUGCCUGCCCAGUUGGGCUCCAAGCAUAAUUGUCUGCCAGCUCAGGCUGACCACCCCUGUAAAGGAAAGCCAAUUAGAUGGAGACCUUGUACCCAACAGGAGUGGAGCUCAGAACUGAGAGGGGCUUCAGCCUUCGGAAACAGCGAGAAAGACAGUAAACCCAGACGGUUCAUGGGGUACCACACUUGGGUUUCCUGUCCUUGGGUGCCAUUGGAAGUUCGCUUCAGAUCCCAGCACUGCCACCAAAUCUGUUAAAUAAUAAAAAUUCAAUUACGUAAUUUUAAAGAUCCAAUUGGCUUUAUUAACCAAUUCAUGAAUCAGUCAGUCUCCAUCUAGCACGUAGAGGGGGCUCUGAGGAGUUGUACGCAUGGAAGGUUUUUAUAGGAAGGGGGGUGGUACAAUAAGUUCUUAGCAAAAGAAAAGAAAGGAUAGUUUGACCUUGGCAGAAGGGCAGGAGAUCUUAUUAGGUGGAUUCCCUUAUCUUUUGGGGGACGGAGAGGGCCCAUGUGACAGAUUAACUCACAGAUGCUGAUCAGAAAAUUCCUGACUAUCCAGCCAAGACUACAUUUCUGGGGGAAGUUAGAACUGUAGUUAGGUUGGGUAUUGAGUCCCGGUUUGGUGACCUGGCCUAUGUGACACUAUUUUGGGCCUGUGGUUUUCUUUUUAACAGCUUGGAAAAUGUUUUAUCCCCAUUGCCACUAGAGCAGGCUGCAUAAGCUGUGGCUUAUGUGUGCAUGCCAGACACAUGCAUGGGUUUAUCAGGAAAAGCUAUUGAAUUGAUGUGUCAGGGGGAAGAGGGUGGUGAUGGCAAAGCCCCACCGACAGGCCUCAGUGUUAGGCUCUGGUUUUCAGUUGUGGCUCCUUUGGCAACUACUCCUUAACCCCCUCAGCUCUCAUGCCCACUAGGCCCUGAAUUGAGGAGAGCUCAGACUAUGCUGCUUCCCUUCAACUUGACUGUCUCCAUCAUUUCCCUCCUCACCCUUGUGUUCUUUUCUCACAAGCCUGACUCAGACCUAGUUUUUGCCUGUUUGUUUUCUUUUGCUCACGGACUAUUCUCUUGGGCCAGAUUCCUACCCCCGCCCCCCAAUCAUCUUAUUCUGUCUCCUCAAUGUUUUUUUCAAUGCAAUCUUGCCAAAAGCUAUUUUAGGGUUUGACUGUGGCUUUUUGGCAUCAUUAUCUCACUGGGUCUAGUUUGGAGGUUUCUCUGGGAUCUCUUGCUGGAGUCUUCUCUUUUUAGGAUUUCCCAGUCUAUAUCAGAAGCAUAAAAAAAAAAAUCAUCACUUUGUCCUGGGGAGAAUGUUAUUUUCUUCAUUCAGAUAUUUAAAAAUCUUAAUGCUCUACAACUAGAGUUUUAUUUUGUAAGGGAUAUUCUCUGGUAAGCUGCCAAUGGCAACCUAUAAUAUGAAGUUCCAUAUGCCCCUUUGGGUUCAACUGUAAUCUUUAUGAGAUAAUUUCAUCCCCUUCUUUCUUGCUGUGUAACUGAAAUCCUCAAGAGCAAAGAAACUUUUGUAUCCCUCCCACAUCCCAGAACUAGCUUGGAGUUUGGCCUCAGGCAACAACCAACUAACAGUGCCUUGAAGAUAAUCCUCUGGGGAGUUAAUUAAGAUAGACUGAAUAAUUUAAGGGGCAGUUCUGGUGAG